Molecule: long non-coding RNA, 2464 nt
Organism: Alexandromys fortis (reed vole)
Lineage: Eukaryota; Metazoa; Chordata; Mammalia; Rodentia; Cricetidae
Exons: 3
Source: RefSeq, a predicted model, not a curated record
GGCUUCCUAAAAUGACUCACCGCCCCAAGCCAGCUCUCCACUGUGCCUCCGAGAGAGAGAGGAGGGGACUCGGAAACCCCCUCACAAUUGGCUUCAGGGGUCUCUGACGCAGAAGAAUUUGAGGUGGUGGAGACCACAGAAGAGCUUGAUGAAGGUGGGCCCCAUUACCAAAGGCAAAGACAAAAAGCAGAGGAGUAAGAAGAGAAGGCGCUUGCUUUGGGACAAGGUUCCUAAGAUGAGUCUGGAGUUCCCGAAAGCCAGGAGGAUUUCUAUGACUGAGAGGGGGUGGGUCUUCAUUGUAGAGGAGGAUUGUGUCAACUGCCUGGAUGAGCUAACAACUUCUGCACCUCUCACUAGCUGUGACCUCAGCCUUGCCUGGAGUUCUUUAUAUGGAAACCAAGAGUUUUGAAGCACAGUCCCAUAGAGAUGUGACGUAAAAAUGUGCUCAUAUACGCAAGUCUUCACUGGAGGCUGGAGAGAUGGCUUUUCAGAUAAAGGACUCAUCCUACAAGCACAAGGAACUGACGUCAGAUCCCCGGUGCUCACGUCAAAAGCAGGGUGCGAUCAGAAAAAUCAUCCACCAUGACCAAGUAGGCUUCAUACCAGAGAUGCAACGAUAGUCCAACACUGAAAAUCUGUCGAUGCAAUCCACCAUAGAAACAAACUGAACAAAAAACCCACAUGGAUAUCUCAUUAGAUGUUGAAAAAACCUCUGACAAAAUACAACACCCCUUCAUGAUAAAGGUAUUGGAGAGAGCAGGGAUACAAGGAACACACCUAAACAUAAUAAAGUCAAUAUACAGCAAACCAAUAGCCAACAUCAAAUUAAAUGGAGAGCAACUCAAAGCAAUCCCACUGAAAUAAGGAACAAGACAAGGUUGUCCACUCUUUCCACACCUAUUUAAUAUAGUACUUGAGUUUCUAGUUAGAGCAAUAAGACAACAAAAGGAGAUCAAGGGGAUAUAAAUCAGAAAAGAAGUCAAUCUCUCACUAUUUGCUGAUGAUAUGAUAGUUUACAUAAGGGACCCCAAAAAUUCUACAAGGAACUCCUAUAACUCAUAAACACCUUCAGUAAUGUAGCAAGAUACAAGAUUAAUUCAAAAAAAUCAAUAGCCCUCCUUUACAGAGAUGGUAAAUGGGCUGAGAAAGAAAUAGAGAAACAUCACUCUUCACAAUAGCCACAAAUAACAUGAAAUAUCUCGGAGUAACUCUAACCAAACAAGUGGAAGACCUAUAUGACAAGAACUUUAAAUCUUUGAAGAAAUAAAUUGGAGAAGACACCAAAAAAAUGGAAAGGUCUCCCAUACUCUUGGGUAGGUAGAAUUAACAUCAUAAAAAUCACAGUCCUACUCAAAGCAAUCUACAGAUUCAAUGCAACGUCCAGCAAAAUCCCAGAAAUAUUCUUUACAGACCUCAAAAGAAAAAUACUCAACUUCAUAUAGAAAAGCAAAAAACCCAGGAUAGUCAAAACAAUUAUGUACAAUAAAGAAACUUCUAGAGGCAUCAAAAUCCCUAACUUCUAACUCUACUACCAAGCUACACUCUGAAAACAGCCUUGUAUUGACAUAAGAACAGACAGGAGGACCAAUGGAACCGAAUCAAAAACCCAGAUAUCAAUCCACACACCUACAAACACCUGAUUUUUGACAAAGAAGCAAAAAAUAUAAAAUGGAAAAAAGAAAGCAUAUUUAACAAAUGGUGCUAGCAUAACUGGACAUCAACCUGUAGAAGAAUGAAAACAGACCCAUAUCUAUCACCAUGCACAAAACUCAAGUCCAUAUGGAUCAAAGACCUCAACAUAAAGACAGCCACACUGAACCUCAUAGAAGAGUAGGUGGGAAGUCCACUUGAAUGCAUUGGCACAGGAGACCACUUUCUAAAUAUAACCCCAGCAGCACAGACACUGAGAGAAAUAAUUAAUAAAUGGGACCUCCUGAAACUGAGAAGCUUCUGUAAAGCAACGGACACAGUCACCAAGACAAAACGGCAGCCUACAGAAUGGGAAAAGAUCUUCACCAACUCCACCUCAGACAGAGGGUUUAUCUCCAAAAUAUAUGAAGAACUCAAGAAAUUGGUCAUCAAAAGAGAAAAUAAUUCAGUAAAAAAAAAUGGGGUACAGACUUAAACAGAGAACUCUCAACAGACAAAUCUAAAAUGGCUGAAAGACACUUAAGGAGAAGCUCAACAUCCUCAGCUAUUAGAGAAAUGCUAAUCAAAACAGCUCUGAGAUUCCCUCUUAAACCUGUAAGAAUGGCCAAGAUCAAAAACACUGAUGACAUCUUAUGCUGGAGAGGAUGUGGGGUAAAGGGAACAAGCCUGCAUUGCUGGUGGGAGUGCAAACUGGUACAGCUGCUUUGGAAAUCGUAUGGUGAUUUCUCAGAAAAUUAGGAAACAACCUACCUCAGGACCCAGCAAUACCACUUUUAGGUACAUGUAAAGGAUACUCAAUUGUGCCACAAGGACA